GGCCUCGUAGCUCAGUCUGGUUAGAGUACCGGACUCUUAAUCCGGGUGUCGGGGGUUCAACUCCCCUCGGGGCCA
This 75-nucleotide transfer RNA is filed under the name Nanobdellota archaeon. RNAcentral describes it as "tRNA-Lys". It matches the Rfam family "tRNA". Rfam says of the family: Transfer RNA (tRNA) molecules are approximately 80 nucleotides in length. Their secondary structure includes four short double-helical elements and three loops (D, anti-codon, and T loops). The record is from RNAcentral. Lineage: Archaea; Nanobdellati; Nanobdellota.